GUGGCAGUGUGUUCAUUUCAAUGGAAACAACUUUGUUAUGUCUUCAGUAUUCAUUUGGCAGUGCUGAGAAUGAGUGGUUUCAGAUUAUCUUCAUCCUAAAACAGAUCAUUUCUCUCAUCAAAAUGUCCCAUGCUCUCCUCAGACUAAUCUGCAUGGGAUUGGUCUUUACAGGGUCCAAAGCAAGCAGUCUGGUCAACCAAUCUCCUCCUGAUAUCAUCCAGAGCAUUGGUCAAUCUGGACCAUGGAUCCAGUGUUCUCACCACAUACAAAACUAUGAUAGGAUUCUUUGGUAUAAACAAACAAAGGACGGACAGUUAACAUAUUUGGGAUAUCUGUUUGGCAAAGAU
This is a long non-coding RNA of Alosa sapidissima (American shad), 347 nucleotides long. RefSeq lists it as uncharacterized. The record is from RefSeq and is a predicted model, not a curated record. The transcript has 2 exons. NCBI's taxonomy places the organism in Eukaryota, Metazoa, Chordata, Actinopteri, Clupeiformes, Clupeidae.